AGAGUUUGAUCAUGGCUCAGGACGAACGCUGGCGGCGUGCCUAACACAUGCAAGUCGAACGAGGUCCAUCCAGUGGCAACACUGGUGAAGACCUAGUGGCGAACGGGUGAGUAACACGUGAGGAACCUGCCCCGAAGACCGGGAUAACCCUCCGAAAGGAGAGCUAAUACCGGAUACCCCCACUGGAUCGCAUGAUCCGGUGAGGAAAUGGAUUCCGCUUCGGGAGGGCCUCGCGGCCUAUCAGCUAGUUGGUGGGGUAACGGCCCACCAAGGCAUCGACGGGUAGCUGGUCUGAGAGGACGAUCAGCCACACUGGGACUGAGACACGGCCCAGACUCCUACGGGAGGCAGCAGUGGGGAAUCUUGCGCAAUGGGCGAAAGCCUGACGCAGCAACGCCGCGUGGGGGAUGAAGGCUCUCGGGUUGUAAACCCCUUUCAGUAGGGACGAAUCAAGACGGUACCUACAGAAGAAGCCCCGGCUAACUACGUGCCAGCAGCCGCGGUAACACGUAGGGGGCAAGCGUUGUCCGGAUUUAUUGGGCGUAAAGAGCUCGUAGGCGGUUCGGUAAGUCGGGUGUUAAACCCUCAGGCUCAACCUGGGGCCCCACCCGAUACUGCUGUGACUAGAGUCCGGUAGGGGAGCGUGGAAUUCCUGGUGUAGCGGUGAAAUGCGCAGAUAUCAGGAGGAACACCAGCGGCGAAGCGGCGCUCUGGGCCGGAACUGACGCUGAGGAGCGAAAGCGUGGGUAGCAAACAGGAUUAGAUACCCUAGUAGUCC
Molecule: ribosomal RNA, 778 nt
Filed under: uncultured bacterium
Lineage: Bacteria
Description: bacterial SSU rRNA
Rfam family: Bacterial small subunit ribosomal RNA
Source: RNAcentral